GGGUGAAGGGAUCUUAGCGGCGGGGACUCAGCUGAGCGGAUUGGUGAGUAAUGCCUAGGAAUCUGCCUGGUAGUGGGGGAUAACGUCCGGAAACGGGCGCUAAUACCGCAUACGUCCUGAGGGAGAAAGUGGGGGAUCUUCGGACCUCACGCUAUCAGAUGAGCCUAGGUCGGAUUAGCUAGUUGGUGGGGUAAAGGCCUACCAAGGCGACGAUCCGUAACUGGUCUGAGAGGAUGAUCAGUCACACUGGAACUGAGACACGGUCCAGACUCCUACGGGAGGCAGCAGUGGGGAAUAUUGGACAAUGGGCGAAAGCCUGAUCCAGCCAUGCCGCGUGUGUGAAGAAGGUCUUCGGAUUGUAAAGCACUUUAAGUUGGGAGGAAGGGCAGUAAGUUAAUACCUUGCUGUUUUGACGUUACCAACAGAAUAAGCACCGGCUAACUUCGUGCCAGCAGCCGCGGUAAUACGAAGGGUGCAAGCGUUAAUCGGAAUUACUGGGCGUAAAGCGCGCGUAGGUGGUUCAGCAAGUUGGAUGUGAUAUCCCCGGGCUCAACCUGUGAACUGCAUCCCACACUACUGAGCUAGAGUACGGUAGAGGGUGGUGGAAUUUCCUGUGUGACGGUGAAAUGCGUAGAUAUAGGAAGGAACACCAGUGGCGAAGGCGAUCUCCUGCACUGAUACUGACACUGAUGUGCGAAACCGUGGGGAGCAAACAGGAUGAGAUACCCUGGUAGUCCGCGGCUGUAUACGAUGUCGACUACCCUUUGGGAUCCUUGAGAUCAUAGUGCCGCACCUACGCGAUAAUUCGACCGCCUGGGGAGUGCAGCCGCCAGGUUAAAACUCAGAUGAAUUGAUGGGGCUCGCUCAAGCAGCUGCAGCAUGUGGUUUUAUUCGUAGUACGAUGAGAGCUUGACCUCGUCUUGACAUGCUGACUACUGUCAGAAAUGGAUUGGUGCUUCUGGACUGAGACGCAGUACUGCAAUGCUUGUAGUUACUGCUCGUCCUGCGAUGCUGGAUUAAGUGUCUAUCGACGACAUCUUGUCCUUACUACCAGGACGGCGGGUGG
Molecule: ribosomal RNA, 1066 nt
Filed under: Pseudomonas aeruginosa
Lineage: Bacteria; Pseudomonadati; Pseudomonadota; Gammaproteobacteria; Pseudomonadales; Pseudomonadaceae
Description: bacterial SSU rRNA
Rfam family: Bacterial small subunit ribosomal RNA
Source: RNAcentral